RNAcentral lists this long non-coding RNA (351 nucleotides) under Citrus x clementina. RNAcentral's name for it is "Citrus clementina (C. clementina) long non-coding RNA (CCLE_LNC002352)". Lineage: Eukaryota; Viridiplantae; Streptophyta; Magnoliopsida; Sapindales; Rutaceae. The record is from RNAcentral.
GGUUGUUUUCCCUUUGACUGCUAAUCACACGAGCCUCGUUGAUCUUUUGCUGGAAUGAUGACCAGAGGAUGGUAUUUUUGCCUUGUUUGUGCUUCUGGGUGAAGCAAAAUAUUGGUAGCAGGCUUUCGCUUAUACGUCUGAUGUGUAGCAGCCAUACACACUGUUGUGAUUGUAGAAAAGAGGGUAUCGCUAAUCCCUGUGGCAUUCGAUGACUAUUAUUAUCAAACAAGUAUAAAAUUUGACGAAAAUAUCGCAACAAUUAUUACCUUAAAUAAAAUUUAACGAAAAAAUAUAUCAUUGGUAUUCCAAAUAUAGAAAUCCGAACAUAAUAGAAAUAUUUCAAUCUAGAAU